UACGGAGGGUGCAAGCGUUGUCCGGAUUUAUUGGGUUUAAAGGGUGCGUAGGCGGCCCGGUAAGUCAGUGGUGAAAGCCUCCAGCUCAACUGGAGAACUGCCAUUGAUACUGCCGGGCUUGAGUACAGACGAGGUUGGCGGAAUUGAUUGUGUAGCGGUGAAAUGCAUAGAUACAAUCAAGAACACCGAUUGCGUAGGCAGCUUACUAGGCUGUAACUGACGCUGAGGCACGAAAGCGUGGGGAGCGAACAGG
This 253-nucleotide ribosomal RNA is filed under the name uncultured bacterium. Its description in RNAcentral is "partial 16S ribosomal RNA". It matches the Rfam family "Bacterial small subunit ribosomal RNA", at positions 524 to 776 of the family's 1533-position model. The record is from RNAcentral.